Molecule: ribosomal RNA, 427 nt
Filed under: uncultured bacterium
Lineage: Bacteria
Description: bacterial SSU rRNA
Rfam family: Bacterial small subunit ribosomal RNA
Source: RNAcentral
UGGGGAAUUUUGGACAAUGGACGCAAGUCUGAUCCAGCCAUGCCGCGUGCGGGAAGAAGGCCUUCGGGUUGUAAAGCUCUUUUGUCAGGGAAGAAACGGUGAGAGCUAAUAUCUCUUGCUAAUGACGGUACCUGAAGAAUAAGCACCGGCUAACUACGUGCCAGCAGCCGCGGUAAUACGUAGGGUGCAAGCAUUAAUCGGAAUUACUGGGCGUAAAGCGUGCGCAGGCGGUUAUGCAAGUAUGAUGUGAAAUCCCCGGGCCCAACCUGGGAACUGCAUUUGUGACUGCAUAGCUGAAGUGCGGCAGAGGGGAAUGGAAUUACGCGUGUAGCAGUGAAAUGCGUAGAUAUGCGGAGGAACACCGAUGGCGAAGGAAAUCCCAUGGGCCUGCACUGACGCUAAUGCACGAAAGCGUGGGGAGCAAACA